CUACACUCCGACUUCGGAAGGGGUGUAUUUAUUAGAUACAAAACCAAUGCCCUUCGGGGCUCUUUGGUGAUUCAUGAUAACUAUACGAAUCGCACGGCCUUGCGCCGGCGAUGGUUCAUUCUAAUUUCUUCCCUAUCAACUUUCGAUGUUUGGGUAUUGGCCAAACAUGGUUGCAACGGGUAACGGAGGGUUAGGGCUCGACCCCGGAGAAGGAGCCUGAGAAACGGCUACUACAUCCAAGGAAGGCAGCAGGCGCGCAAAUUACCCAAUCCCGACUCGGGGAGGUAGUGACAAUAAAUACUGAUACAGGGCCCUUUCGGGCCUUGUAAUUGGAAUGAGUACAAUUUAAAUCCCUUAACGAGGAACAAUUGGAGGGCAAGUCUGGUGCCAGCAGCCGCGGUAAUUCCAGCUCCAAUAGCGUAUAUUAAAGUUGUUGUGGUUAAAAAGCUCGUAGUUGAACCUUGGGCCUGGCUGGCCGGUCCGCCUCACCGCGUGCACUGGUCCGGCCGGGCCUUUCCCUCUGUGGAACCCCAUACCCUUCACUGGGCGUGGCGGGGAAACAGGACAUUUACUUUGAAAAAAUUAGAGUGCUCCAGGCAGGCCUAUGCUCGAAUACAUUAGCAUGGAAUAAUAAAAUAGGACGCGCGGUUCUAUUUUGUUGGUUUAUAGGACCGCCGUAAUGAUUAAUAGGGACAGUCGGGGGCAUCAGUAUUCAACUGUCAGAGGUGAAAUUCUUGGAUCAGUUGAAGACUAACUACUUGCGAAAGCAUUUUG
This 774-nucleotide ribosomal RNA is filed under the name Ascomycota sp. ROV07Q3FVU-04. RNAcentral describes it as "SSU rRNA". It matches the Rfam family "Eukaryotic small subunit ribosomal RNA", at positions 174 to 957 of the family's 1831-position model. The record is from RNAcentral. Lineage: Eukaryota; Fungi; Ascomycota.